AAGCGUUGUUCGGAAUUAUUGGGCGUAAAGCGCGUGUAGGCGGUUUGUUAAGUCUGAUGUGAAAGCCCCGGGCCCAACCUGGGAAGUGCAUUGGAUACUGGCAGACUUGAAUACGGGAGAGGGUAGUGGAAUUCCUGGUGUAGGAGUGAAAUCCGUAGAUAUCAGGAGGAACACCGGUGGCGAAGGCGGCUGCCUGGACCGAUAUUGACGCUGAGACGCGAAAGCGUGGGGAGCAAACAGGAUUAGAUACCCUGGUAGUCCACGCCGUAAACGAUGAGUACUAGGUGUUGCGGGUAUUGACCCCUGCAGUGCC
RNAcentral lists this ribosomal RNA (313 nucleotides) under uncultured delta proteobacterium. Its description in RNAcentral is "bacterial SSU rRNA". It matches the Rfam family "Bacterial small subunit ribosomal RNA", at positions 536 to 847 of the family's 1533-position model. The record is from RNAcentral. Lineage: Bacteria; Deltaproteobacteria.